UACCCAAUCCCGACACGGGGAGGUAGUGACAAUAAAUAACAAUACGGGGCUCUUUCGGGUCUCGUAAUUGGAAUGAGUACAAUUUAAAUCCCUUAACGAGGAACAAUUGGAGGGCAAGUCUGGUGCUAGCAGCCGCGGUAAUUCCAGCUCCAAUAGCGUAUAUUAAAGUUGUUGCAGUUAAAAAGCUCGUAGUUGAAUUUCGGGAUUGACGUGAUGGUCGUGCCUUAAGGGGUAUGAACUGUCGCAGUUGAUUUCUCACCUUCUGGAGAAGCAUGAUGUCCUUAAUUGGGUGUCAUGUGGAACCAGGACCUUUACCUUGAAAAAAUUAGAGUGUUUAAAGCAGGCAUUUUGCUCGAAUACAUUAGCAUGGAAUAAUAGAAUAGGACGGCAUGGUUCUAUUUUGUUGGUUUCUAGGAUCACCGUAAUGAUUAAUAGGGAUAGUUGGGGGCAUUAGUAUUCAAUUGUCAGAGGUGAAAUUCUUGGAUUUAUUGAAGACUAACUACUGCGAAAGCAUUUGCCAAGGAUGUUUUCAUUAAUCAAGAACGAAAGUUAGGGGAUCGAAGACGAUUAGA
RNAcentral lists this ribosomal RNA (572 nucleotides) under uncultured fungus. RNAcentral describes it as "SSU rRNA". It matches the Rfam family "Eukaryotic small subunit ribosomal RNA", at positions 442 to 1012 of the family's 1831-position model. Lineage: Eukaryota; Fungi. The record is from RNAcentral.